Molecule: long non-coding RNA, 1823 nt
Filed under: Olea europaea (common olive)
Lineage: Eukaryota; Viridiplantae; Streptophyta; Magnoliopsida; Lamiales; Oleaceae
Description: long non-coding RNA (OEUR_LNC005544)
Source: RNAcentral
AAGGACUAAUAAGCAAAAGCUGAUGAGUUACCACGUGGAUGAAAGUAGACCGUUGAUCAUUACUCAAGGACUGGUUCAGUCUUUUCUUGAUGAGGUUUUUAUUGCAAACUGCAAGACAAAAGUAGAAGAAUUGGCAAGAUUUUCUGAUUUUGUGCUUAAAAACCAGUCUCACUCACAGAAAGAGAGAGAAAGAGAGAGAGAAGGGGCGGGUGCAGAGGGAAAAUAAUCUGUGGGAUGUCUUAAAUUGAGGUUGCAGAGGGGUAGUUGCAGUGGCUGAUGGCGGCGUUUGCAGGGCUGUGACUUUAAUGCAUCAAAGAAAAAAAAAAGACGAAAUUUAAUUCAAGAGAGAGAGUGAGAACCAACGAAUUUAUCUUUCCAUUCCAUUCCAUGUCCUAAAAAAUUCCUAAAUUUUGUCCUGAAAAGCAGCUAAUAAAAGAGAACGAAACCCCCAAAAAAUCACACAGUGAGAGUGUGUCAGUGAGCAGAGUUAGCAGCACAAAACACUCGCACACUCAAAUACAUUCACAUAUACGUCUAUACUAGGUAGUAUGUAGUAUAUUCAAGAUUGCAAUUUUGUCUCUCUCUCUCUCUCUCUCUAUCUAAUACAUACGCACACUGGCUAGGCUGAGGCUUUUUGGCUAUGGAUUUUGUCUUAAAAUUGAAAUUGGAUAUAGCUUCUAGGGGUGGAAAAUGUCUGGGUUUUUCUCACUAGGUGGUAAGAAUCAAGAACAAGAACACAUUCAAGAUAAUAACAAUAGCCUUUUUCUGUUCAAGAACGAAGAGAUCUAUAGCAAGGGUUUUGAGAUAUGGCAACAGUACUAUCAGUUGCAUCAACAAAAGCUACAAAAUCAUCUGGAUGUGGAUUUCUCGGUUGGACCCAGUAGUAGGAGUAAUAAUAUAUCAGGUGAUGAUUCUUCGAACUAUAGUUAUAGAUCAGCAGGGGCAGCAGCAGGGUUUAGGGUCAUGAUGAGGCAAGGAAGAGGCGGGGGUGAGGGCAUGAAUUGCCAAGAUUGUGGGAAUCAAGCUAAGAAAGAUUGCCCACAUAUUAGAUGCCGAACUUGCUGCAAAAGCCGAGGAUUUCAGUGCCAUACCCACGUCAAGAGCACCUGGGUUCCGGCUUCUAAAAGGCGCGAGAAGCAACAGCAACAAGUGCAAGAUCAAAACCAGUUGACACUGAGAGGGGAAAUUCCGAAGAGGCAAAGAGAGAUUCCUGGUGGUGAUGGUGGUGGUUCUUCUUCUCUUGCCUGCACUACUACUCGUUUACCCACCAACACGUCAGGUAAUGUUGUAGUUUUCAAUACAAACAAAAUGGGAUUUGAAAAAUGAACAACAUCGAUUUGAUGGGUUUCUUGUUUUCAACUUCGAAUUCUCAAAUAGAUAAAUAGUUGAAAGAACAAAUGAAGCAUAUGAUCCAUACAUACACACAUCAUUUGCGUGAGAUGAAAGAAGUCUAAUUUCUAUAUGGCCACACCACCAACUACCUGCCUUUUCUUUCUUCUACUGUUAAAGAGUAAAACUGACGCAAGAAUUUGUGAAAAUACUUUCUUCUUCAAGAUUUUUUGUUUUCCUUUUAGGAGACAAACACAUGAAUCCAUAUGGUUUGUUUUUGUUUUAUUGGUUCUUGAUUAGGGUUUGAGUUGGGGAACUUUCCAGCAGAAGUGAAUUCUUCCGCUGUUUUUCGCUGCGUAAGAGUGAGUGCAAUGGAUGAUGCUGAGGAGCAGUAUGCCUACCAGACGGCUGUCAAUAUUGGAGGCCAUGUUUUCAAAGGAAUUCUCUACGAUCAGGGCGCUGAAAGCCGCUAUCCGGGGGAGAGCUCCUCCGGC